GUCAGGGGCACAUCUGGGAGUGUGGGGGCUGGUCUGGGGGAGUGCAGAGUGGAAGGGAAUGCUCUGCAAAGAAGAUCAGAACAGUGCCAUCUCCUCUGUGUGACAGAAAGCUGUCCAGACUAAAGCAGAAUGUCCACUCCUACUCACAAGCAUCUCUGGCCUCCAGGGCCUUUGGCAAAGAAAGAGAUGAAAACACUAUUUUGUUUUUAUUUUUAUUUUUUAAUUUAAUUUUAAUUUAAUUUUAUUAUUAUUUUUAUUUUUGAAAAGACCAUUUGGAACCUGCCUCAAACUUGCAACUGCAGCAAGAGAAGUUAAGCCCUGCAAGGCCCACUCCACUUUUAUUUAUGCAGGUGAGAAGUGGUGAGUGGCCAAGGAGAGCACAGGCUGCGAGGAUCCAAUACAUGCAGAGACCCCCACCAGAACUGAACACCAGCAGGCACUCGAAUGUUCCCAGGCAGGGCACCUGCUGGGGGCCCGGCAGUGGAUAAAACCUUCCCCAGGCAGGCAGAGCUCUGUGCACCUGACAUCUCUGAGAAUAGCCAAGGCUCCUCUCACUGCAGGGAGAGUUCAGGGCACAACUGGAAGCAGAAAGAAAGCUGGCAGACGCUUUCUAGCCAUUCUUUUUGCAAUUCACCUGUUUUGUGCUAACAGAAUUAAAUUCUAUGCAUCUCACCUUGCAAACUCCCAAAAUAAAGUCAGAAAAAACCUCAUCCUUUAUGAGCAAGCUGUUGAACAGUGCUAAGCCUUCUCUGAAAAGUGAGAAAAAUCACAAAACUUCAUAAAUCUGAGAAUGAAACAUUUGUGUUUCGCAUGCCUCAAAGUAAUUAUGUUGAGUAAGCCACGUCUACCACCUCGUGGCAGCUUUCAGUCACUGCAGAUUUUGUUACUUAACGGAGGCUGAAAACUAGUUCACCUUGGAUGGGCAAAUCCCAAAAGAUGGCCAACAUUAGCCCGCUUCUCUCCGCCUGGCUUCCUUUAGUGGAAGCUCUGAGAAACUUUUCAUUAUUGACGUUGGAAUCCUCUAAAAGUUAGUUCCUGAAUUAUUUCUUGGUCAGAUUAAGUUUCAUACUGAUGUGACAUCAACCAUUCUUUUGGAGUCUCCUGUUUUCUUAGGAUCUUUUUAAAAAUACUCUGCUUUUUUUGUUGUU
Long non-coding RNA from Canis lupus familiaris (dog), 1148 nucleotides. RefSeq lists it as uncharacterized. The transcript has 2 exons. The record is from RefSeq and is a predicted model, not a curated record. NCBI's taxonomy places the organism in Eukaryota, Metazoa, Chordata, Mammalia, Carnivora, Canidae.